UCCGCGCCAAAACUCCGACGCCGGCUGUCUCCUUCGCCCGUGCCGCUCCUGUCUCGCCUGACCCGUGACCAGUUGGGCCUGCCUUCCAUCGCGACACCCACACUCGGAGUCUUCCGCCAGUCUUCGCCGGAGCUCUGAACGCCGAAGACCCAACCUCCGGUGACCCACCGAAGCCGCUCGACCGUAGGUGAAGAAAGCAG
This 200-nucleotide long non-coding RNA is filed under the name Eucalyptus grandis. RNAcentral describes it as "long non-coding RNA (EGRA_LNC006524)". Lineage: Eukaryota; Viridiplantae; Streptophyta; Magnoliopsida; Myrtales; Myrtaceae. The record is from RNAcentral.